This 72-nucleotide transfer RNA is filed under the name Capra hircus (goat). It matches the Rfam family "tRNA". From Rfam's summary of the family: Transfer RNA (tRNA) molecules are approximately 80 nucleotides in length. Their secondary structure includes four short double-helical elements and three loops (D, anti-codon, and T loops). Further hydrogen bonds mediate the characteristic L-shaped molecular structure. tRNAs have two regions of fundamental functional importance: the anti-codon, which is responsible for specific mRNA codon recognition, and the 3' end, to which the tRNAs corresponding amino acid is attached (by aminoacyl-tRNA synthetases). tRNAs cope with the degeneracy of the genetic code in two manners: having more than one tRNA (with a specific anti-codon) for a particular amino acid; and 'wobble' base-pairing, i.e. permitting non-standard base-pairing at the 3rd anti-codon position. The record is from Rfam by way of RNAcentral. Lineage: Eukaryota; Metazoa; Chordata; Mammalia; Artiodactyla; Bovidae. RNAcentral also lists the same sequence under 1 other name.
UCCCUGAUGGCUCAGAUGGUAAAGCGUCUGCCUUCAAUGCUGGAGACCCAGGUUCGAUCCCUGAGUUGGGAA